Molecule: ribosomal RNA, 430 nt
Filed under: Mycobacterium sp. R-23262
Lineage: Bacteria; Bacillati; Actinomycetota; Actinomycetes; Mycobacteriales; Mycobacteriaceae
Description: bacterial SSU rRNA
Rfam family: Bacterial small subunit ribosomal RNA
Source: RNAcentral
GACGAACGCUGGCGGCGUGCUUAACACAUGCAAGUCGAACGGAAAGGCCCUUCGGGGUACUCGAGUGGCGAACGGGUGAGUAACACGUGGGUGAUCUGCCCUGCACUUUGGGAUAAGCCUGGGAAACUGGGUCUAAUACCGAAUAUGACCAUGCGCCUCCUGGUGUGUGGUGGAAAGCUUUUGCGGUGUGGGAUGGGCCCGCGGCCUAUCAGCUUGUUGGUGGGGUAAUGGCCUACCAAGGCGACGACGGGUAGCCGGCCUGAGAGGGUGACCGGCCACACUGGGACUGAGAUACGGCCCAGACUCCUACGGGAGGCAGCAGUGGGGAAUAUUGCACAAUGGGCGCAAGCCUGAUGCAGCGACGCCGCGUGAGGGAUGACGGCCUUCGGGUUGUAAACCUCUUUCAGCACAGACGAAGCGCAAGUGACGG